RNAcentral lists this ribosomal RNA (288 nucleotides) under uncultured Bacteroides sp. RNAcentral describes it as "partial 16S ribosomal RNA". It matches the Rfam family "Bacterial small subunit ribosomal RNA", at positions 58 to 339 of the family's 1533-position model. Lineage: Bacteria; Pseudomonadati; Bacteroidota; Bacteroidia; Bacteroidales; Bacteroidaceae. The record is from RNAcentral.
CAAGUCGAGGGGCAGCAUGGUCUUAGCUUGCUAAGUUUGAUGGCGACCGGCGCACGGGUGAGUAACACGUAUCCAACCUUCCGUUUACUCAGGGAUAGCCUUUCGAAAGAAAGAUUAAUACCCGAUGGCAUAAUUCUUCCGCAUGGUAGAAUUAUUAAAGAAUUUCGGUUAUCGAUGGGGAUGCGUUCCAUUAGGCAGUUGGUGAGGUAACGGCUCACCAAACCUUCGAUGGAUAGGGGUUCUGAGAGGAAGGUCCCCACAUUGGAACUGAGACACGGUCCAAACUCC